Molecule: ribosomal RNA, 1012 nt
Filed under: Salmonella enterica subsp. enterica serovar Infantis
Lineage: Bacteria; Pseudomonadati; Pseudomonadota; Gammaproteobacteria; Enterobacterales; Enterobacteriaceae
Description: partial 23S ribosomal RNA
Rfam family: Bacterial large subunit ribosomal RNA
Source: RNAcentral
CCACCACCAAAGCAUUCUCUGGUGUUGAAGGCCCUGCAAAGCAGCAUCGCGGUGGCGGAGCGUCGUUUGCGACGCCCAACACACAAAACAAGCGGUGAGUGCUUUGGGGUGGGGUGACUGCGUACCUUUUGUAUAAUGGGUCAGCGACUUAUAUUCUGUAGCAAGGUUAACCGAAUAGGGGAGCCGGAGGGAAACCGAGUCUUAAUUGGGCGUUAAGUUGCAGGGUAUAGACCCGAAACCCGGUGAUCUAGCCAUGGGCAGGUUGAAGGUUGGGUAACACUAACUGGAGGACCGAACCGACUAAUGUUGAAAAAUUAGCGGAUGACCUGUGGCUGGGGGUGAAAGGCCAAUCAAACCGGGAGAUAGCUGGUUCUCCCCGAAAGCUAUUUAGGUAGCGCCUCGUGAAUUCAUCUCCGGGGGUAGAGCACUGUUUCGGCUAGGGGGCCAUCCCGGCUUACCAACCCGAUGCAAACUGCGAAUACCGGAGAAUGUUAUCACGGGAGACACACGGCGGGUGCUAACGUCCGUCGUGAAGAGGGAAACAACCCAGACCGCCAGCUAAGGUCCCAAAGUCAUGGUUAAGUGGGAAACGAUGUGGGAAGGCCCAGACAGCCAGGAUGUUGGCUUAGAAGCAGCCAUCAUUUAAAGAAAGCGUAAUAGCUCACUGGUCGAGUCGGCCUGCGCGGAAGAUGUAACGGGGCUAAACCAUGCACCGAAGCUGCGGCAGCGAACGUAUCACUUAAAGCGAUUCAGCGGGUUACGAUUGACGGAGCGAAGCGACGUCAAAGCGUAUACAAAGUCGAGUCGGUUUAAGGAUACGUUCGUUGGGUAGGGGAGCGUUCUGUAAGCCUGUGAAGGUGUGUCGUGAGGCAUGCUGGAGGUAUCAGAAGUGCGAAUGCUGACAUAAGUAACGAUAAAGCGGGUGAAAAGCCCGCUCGCCGGAAGACCAAGGGUUCCUGUCCAACGUUAAUCGGGGCAGGGUGAGUCGACCCCUAAGGCGAGGCCGAAAGGC